GUGAAUCAUCAAAUUUUUGAACGCAAAUUGCACUCUCCUCGGAGAGUAUGCCUGUUCGAGGGCCAGCCUAUAAAAAAUCGACAUCGUUGCUGUUCUGCGGUGACGUACGUCGGAACCAGGGUUAUCUUAAACCUGUUGGUUUAAGCGACUCAAAAUUUUCCUUUCGAUUUCAUGAACGUUCCUAAGAUUUA
RNAcentral lists this unclassified non-coding RNA (191 nucleotides) under Glomeraceae sp. RNAcentral describes it as "partial contains 5.8S ribosomal RNA and internal transcribed spacer 2". The stretch from base 1 to 65 matches the Rfam family "5.8S ribosomal RNA", at positions 84 to 154 of the family's 154-position model. Lineage: Eukaryota; Fungi; Glomeromycota; Glomeromycetes; Glomerales; Glomeraceae. The record is from RNAcentral.